ACAUGUUGAAAUCAAUCCGUUUGGUAUUUGAGAGCCAGUGGAGCACGUCAAGGAGUGGUGUGAUGGCGGGUGCAGAGUUUUGUGCAGUUUCACUGCAGGCGAAAAGCAGAGAAGAGAACAGAACAGAACCACUCCAGAAGUUCCAAAACAAUGGCACAUUAAAAUAGAGGUCAUUCUCAAGGUCAAAAACAACCCCAAAAUCGUGUUCUCCUCCACACCCCCUCUCAAGCACCCUUGAUCCUCGCUUCUGAUACCAAGUGCGAUGAGGACCUGGACAUCUUUAUUUCUAAGAUAGAUAACAUGCCAGGUUUCCUCCCCUUCCUCCCCCACACCCAUGCUGCCUACCAACCCCCAUGUCUCCUUCAUCACCCUC
Long non-coding RNA from Callorhinchus milii (elephant shark), 373 nucleotides. RefSeq lists it as uncharacterized. The record is from RefSeq and is a predicted model, not a curated record. The transcript is spliced from 3 exons. NCBI's taxonomy places the organism in Eukaryota, Metazoa, Chordata, Chondrichthyes, Chimaeriformes, Callorhinchidae.